Long non-coding RNA from Grus americana (Whooping crane), 596 nucleotides. RefSeq lists it as uncharacterized. The record is from RefSeq and is a predicted model, not a curated record. The transcript is spliced from 3 exons. NCBI's taxonomy places the organism in Eukaryota, Metazoa, Chordata, Aves, Gruiformes, Gruidae.
GGCCGUGGCGGUUAACUGGGGGCCGCGGUGGCGGAGUUGAGGGUCUGGGGGAGCUGCUCUGGUGCCUACGGGUUUGUCCUAUGGUGCUCCUCUGUGACAGAGCUGAGGGGUUUAUGACUAGCCUCCCUGUGAGCUGAAGAGGCAGGAAGCUAUGUAUUCUCCACCAAGGCUGGCUGCACAUUUCCUCUGAAGUAAACUUUGCAGAAGUCACUGGUGCCUUUGUUACGUCCACCUGGGUUUCUGUACCUUUCUAUUUAUGAGUCCCCUUUGAAGCGUGCCUGAAAGAUCCAGUUGCUGAGAAAGCCACUGCCCGCUCCCUGAGCAGUGCCGCACAGCAUGAGCACUCCGCACCAGAGACUCGGCACUGGCUUGCUGUUUACUGAUCAACUUUAAAGCCCAGAGCACUCGAAGAAAUAGUUAUCUUAGGGGCUCCUCUGACUCUGUACCCACUUGCUGCCUCACUAUCAGGUGGAGAUGAAUGUCUUUCCAGGAACCAAGUCUCAAUAUAUGAAAGUCAACCCGGAUAAAGAAAAUGGUUUUAAAAUUUGAAAUACAAAUUUAAAAUAAAAAACCCAAGUUAAACAAAAUUGUUUGAA